This 486-nucleotide ribosomal RNA is filed under the name uncultured bacterium. Its description in RNAcentral is "bacterial SSU rRNA". It matches the Rfam family "Bacterial small subunit ribosomal RNA", at positions 29 to 509 of the family's 1533-position model. The record is from RNAcentral.
AACGAACGCUGGCGGCGCGCCUAAUACAUGCAAGUCGAGCGAGAAGACGUAGCAAUACGUUUGUAAAGCGGCGAACGGGUGAGGAAUACAUGGGUAACCUACCCUCGAGUGGGGAAUAACUAGCCGAAAAGGUUAGCUAAUACCGCGUACGCUCCUUGGACUUCGGUUCAGGGAGGAAAGCGAUACCGUGGGUAUCGCGCUCUUGGAUGGGCUCAUGUCCUAUCAGCUUGUUGGUGAGGAACGGCUCACCAAGGCUUCGACGGGUAGCUGGUCUGAGAGGACAAUCAGCCACACUGGCACUGCGACACGGGCCAGACUCCUACGGGAGCAGCAGUAAGGAAUAUUGCGCAAUGGGCGAAAGCCUGACGCAGCGACGCCGCGUGGGGGAUGAAGGUCUUCGGAUUGUAAACCCCUUUCGGGAGGGAAGAUGGAACGAGCAAUCGUUCGGACGGUACCUCCAGAAGCAGCCACGGCUAACUUCGUGCC